This 776-nucleotide ribosomal RNA is filed under the name uncultured Neocallimastigales. RNAcentral describes it as "partial large subunit ribosomal RNA". It matches the Rfam family "Eukaryotic large subunit ribosomal RNA", at positions 22 to 634 of the family's 3401-position model. Lineage: Eukaryota; Fungi; Neocallimastigomycota; Neocallimastigomycetes; Neocallimastigales. The record is from RNAcentral.
AUAUCAGUCAUGCAUAGCAUAUCAAUAAGCGGAGGAAAAGAAACUAACAAGGAUUCCCCUAGUAACUGCGAGUGAAGCGGGAAGAGCUCAAAUUUGAAAUCUUAAAAGGUUUUCCUUUUACGAAUUGUAGUUUAAAGAAGUGUUUUCUGUUGAAAUUUUAGUAAAAGUUCUUUGGAAUAGGACAUCAUAGAGGGUGAGAAUCCCGUAUUUGACUAGAAUUUUUCAACUUUGUGAUACACUUUCAAAGAGUCGGAUUGUUUGGGAAUGCAGUCCAAAAUGGGUGGUAAAUUUCAUCUAAAGCUAAAUAUUGGCGAGAGACCGAUAGCGAACAAGUACCGUGAGGGAAAGAUGAAAAGAACUUUGAAAAGAGAGUUAAAUAGUACGUGAAAUUGUCAAAAGGGAAGCGUUUGGCACCAGUGUUGUUUUUCUAAAAAUCAAUUUAAAAUUUGCUUAUGCUAAGUUUUUUAGACUUAAUCGGCUAAUAAUUUAGUUUUUUGUAAUUUUUGAAUGCACUUUUUAGUUAACAAGUCAACAUCAAUUUCUUUUGUUGUAAAAGAAUAAGAGGAAGGUGGCUUGGGAUUUAGUUUCAAGUGUUUAUAGCCUUUUAUUUAUGCAAUAGGAGGGAUUGAGGUCUGCAGCAUAGAUCCUUCGGGGCUAGAUGCAUUUUCGCUAAGAGUCAGUAUUAUAUAAACAACUUGUUGAUUAUGUAGUAUGUUGAUUUUUACUCGGGAGUGUUAUUUUACCUACGCUUAGGAUGUUGAUCUACAGAGCGAGAG